GACGAACGCUGGCGGCGUGCUUAACACAUGCAAGUCGAACGGAAAGGCCCUGCUCUUGUGGGGUGCUCGAGUGGCGAACGGGUGAGUAACACGUGAGUAACCUGUCCCUGACUUUGGGAUAACUUCAGGAAACUGGGGCUAAUACCGGAUAGGAGCUCCUGCUGCAUGGUGGGCGUUGGUAAGUUUCGGCGGUUGGGGAUGGACUCGCGGCUUACCGGCUUGGUGGUGGGGUAGUGGCUUACCAAGGUUUUGACGGGUAGCCGGCCUGAGAGGGUGACCGGCCACAUUGGGACUGAGAUACGGCCCAGACUCCAACGGGAGGCAGCGGGGGAGAAUAUUGCACAAUGGGCGGAAGCCUGAUGCAGCAACGCCGCGUGCGGGAUGACGGCCUUCGGGUUGUAAACCGCUUUCGCCUGUGACGAAGCGUGAGUGACGGUAAUGGGUAAAGAAGCACCGGCUAACUACGUG
RNAcentral lists this ribosomal RNA (468 nucleotides) under uncultured bacterium. Its description in RNAcentral is "partial 16S ribosomal RNA". It matches the Rfam family "Bacterial small subunit ribosomal RNA", at positions 28 to 507 of the family's 1533-position model. The record is from RNAcentral.